UUAGAGAUAACACAGACUUGAUUAGCCUUGAGGCAACUAACCCCAGGCCGUCUCCUUCAUUAUAUAUAGAGAAAGACAUUGCAUUGAUUACUCACUAGAGCAUAGCUAAUCAGAUAGGUGCCUUGGCAGCCGUACACACCUUUGGGCUGCCCAAGGUCUUUAAUGACUGUAAUUAACUAGCAUAGUUAUCUAGGAAAUGCUUAGGAAGCAGGGCUUAUUAACUACAUUUCUCCCCCUAAGACCUGCUUCAACUAAUCUUGAUCUCCUUGAUCCCAAUCCUGCUCCUCAUCUCCUCCAGCUUGGUUUUGCCCAAGGCUUUAGUCAGUAUAUCAGCGAGCUGAUCUGCAGUGGGAAUGAACUCUGUCUUGAUGCUACCUUCUUUCAUACAAUCUCUGAUGAAAUGAUGCUUGAUUCUAAUAUGCUUGCUCCUGUCAUGGAAAACAGGAUUCUUUGCCAAAGCCAGAGCAGACUUAUUGUCUACUCUGAGUUCCACCACUUCAACUUUUCUUCCCAACAAAUCUGCAAACAGUCUUGACAACCACAAAGCUUGGGUUGCAGCUGUUGUCAUCGCCACAUAUUCAGCCUCACAGCUAGACAGAGCAACAACUCUCUGUUUGACAGACUGCCAGCUGACCAGGCUGGUUCCAAGGAAGAACAAACAUCCAGUUGUGCUUUUGCUUGAAUCAACAUCUCCAGCCAAAUCUGAAUCACUGUAACCCACAAACCUUGCUUUGCCUGUUGUUCUGGUGUAGCAGAGCCCAUGAUCUAGAGUACCAGCCAGGUAUCUCAAGAUUCUCUUCACAGCCUGAAGAUGUUCAGUUGUUGGCUUCUCCAGAAAUCUGCUAACAUACCCUACAGCAAAAGCCAAAUUGGUCUUGUGUGCACUAGGUAUCUCAAGCUGCCAACCAGUCUUCUGUACUGAGUUGGAUUUACUUCCUUUGCUGUGCUUUCCUUGCUCAACUUCAGCCUUUCUUCCAUGGGUGUGGUGGCUGGAUUACAUCCUGCCAUACCACCAAGCUCAAGUAUCUUCUUAGCAUAAUGGGUUUGCUUCAGAGUGAUGCUCCCCUCAGAUUGUCUCACCUCAACUCCCAGAUAGAAAAACAGAAGACCCAAAUCAUUCAAAGGUUUGCUUCAUCUUUGCCUUGAAAGCUUCAAUCUUCUGCUGAUUGACUGCUGUGAUGAUCAAAUCAUCAACAUAGACUCCAAUUACCAGUAGGGAGUCACCUGAUCCCUUCCUGUACAUAGCAGCUUCAUACACAUUUUGCUCAAAACCCAUCUGCUUGAGAGUCAAGUCAAGCUUGGCAUUCCAUGCCCGAGGAGCCUGUCUUAGACCAUACAGGGCCUUGUGCAGCCUGUACACUUUCUUCUCCUCUCCUGAUACUACAAAACCUGGAGGCUGUGUAACAUAGACCUCCUUCUGGAGUUCUCCAUUCAAAAAUGCAGACUUCACAUCCAUGUGUACUGCCCAUCCCUCUUGUGCUGCUAGGGCAAGCAAAACACGCACUGAUUCCAUCCUUGCAACCGGUGCAAAAGCAUCUUCAUAAUUAACUCCUUCCUGCUGCACAAAACCACGGGCCACAAGUCUUGCCUUGUGCCUAAUUACAACUCCAUGUUCAUCCUUCUUCAGCUUAAACACCCAUUUCAGUGAAAUUGGACGGUGACCAGGACGGGGAGAAACAAGUUCCCAAGUCCCAUUCCGCUCUACUGAUCUCAGCUCCUCCUUCAUCGCUGCUUGCCAAUCUGGAUCAUCUUUGGCUUCUUCAUAGCUUGUAGGCUCACCAGAAUGGGUGAGAUUCAGUUUUGCAAACAGCCGCUGCGCCGGCGGAGGGGUUGGCUGAUCACCAAUAAUGUCAUGAAUCUUCCGAUAGCGGAGUUCUUCAUCGUCGUGGUAGGCAUCCACCCUUUCAUCAUCAUCCUCCAGGGGGGGUCACAUGCUCAACCUGAGGACUUGCUGGGGCUGGUGUAGGUGUUCUGGGCAUCACAGGCGCCUCUGUCUCUGCUGUGGGCUCCUCUGCUUCCGCUGCAGGCUCUCCUGCAUUCACCGGAGAGAAACCAGGCGAUGCAGGAUGUGGCGGAGGAGAUAGUGAAGGCGAUGUUGAACUUCCUGCUUCAGGGAGUUCCUCCGCCCAUGGGAAUUCAACAGUAAACUCACUGCCCGCUGCUUCUGGUGUGCCUGCUGCUGGUGAUGUCCAGUCCCAGCCGCGGCCUUCGUCUGAACACCACAUCACGGCUGACACGCACACGCUGGGACACUAGAUCAUAGAUACGGUAUGCCUUGGCCCCUUCCGCAUAGCUGAUAAACACGCCAGCCUCGCCGCGGUCAUCGAGCUUGCGAAGCUGAGUAAGCCGCCGGGUAUAAGCCACACAGCCAAAGACCUUGAGGUGGCUGACUGUUGGUGCCCGGUCGUGCCACGCUUCAUAAGGAGUGGCAUUCUUCAGCGCCUUCGUCGGGGAUUGAUUCAGAAUGUGCACAGCCGUCAUCACAGCCUCCCCCCAAAACCGAGAGGGCAUCUGGCGUUGCUUGAGUAAAGCUCGUGCCAUGGCCACCACUGUUUGGUUCCUGCGCUCAACAACACCGUUUUGUUGCGGUGAAUAAGGGGCACUGAAAUGCUGUUUAAUACCUUCAUCAGCGCAGUAUGCAGUAAACUCCGCGACGGUGAAUUCGCCGCCAUUGUCGGUGCGCAGGACCUUCAACUUGCGCCCGCUUUCCACCUCUGCUGCCACCUUGACCUUCUUAAUUGCUUCUGCUGCUGCGUCCUUGGAUGGCAGCAACACAGCCCACAUAAAGCGGGUGGUGUCAUCGACGAGCAGCAAGAUAUAGCGGUUGCCCGCUGAUGUCGCUGGCGUGACCGACCGCACAGGUCACCGUGCUCCAGCUCAAGCUGAUUCCUCUGCUUGGUGGUAACGCAGGUGUCACACACCUGCUCAACAUGGUCGACCACCGGCAUCCUGUGCGCCAUCUCCUCCUUGCUGAGUCGCCGGAGCGCGUCGAAGUGCAGAUGGCCGAAACGCUCGUGCCAUUGCCAUGCCUCUUCAUCCUUGCGCGCCGCAAGACAGAGAGGUUGUGCAGCCUCAAGAUGCAGAAUAUACAACCUAUUCUUCCCUCUGUGUACCUUGGCGAGCAGACGGCGGUUCUUGUCCCAAAUGCGAAGCACGCCAUCAUCAAUCACAACCUUGGACCCUCCUUCAUCAAGCUGUCCCAGACUUAGGAUAGAGUUCUUCAGCGCCGAAAUGAAAUAGACGCCAUGAAGAACCCUCUGCUCAUCGGUCUUGGCUUGGAAAACAAUAGACCUGACGCCCUUGAUCUCAACCUUCGACGCGUCCCCGAACCGGACCGUUCCUCGAACGCCAGUGUUCAGAUCAGCAAAGAACUCUUGGCGCCCGGUCAUGUGAUGCGUCGCACCGGAGUCCAGGUACCAGUCGCUGUCCACCUCUUCUUCGUCCACGCCGAGGUAGGCGCGAGCACGUGGCUCAGAGAGCUCGACGUGCUGCGCCGUGUAGCUGUGCGCCGGCAUGCUAUGUUCCAGGCUAAUGAAGCCAUGUGCCAGAAACAGAGCGCCAUCUUCAUCGCACUCGGCGUACUGGGCGCGCGCCUCAUGCCUUCCUUGGUUCCCGCCACGCUGCCCAGCCUGAUUUCCGCCGCCACAACCUCCACCACGGUUGCCACCACCGCGGCCAGCACGGUUUCCACCUCCACCGUCGCGCUCUGCAUCUUCACGGCGCGGCUGGGGACACUCACGUGCCCAGUGGCCCUCCUGGUUGCAGUUGAGGCAGGUGUUGGGGCCGACGCGGCCAGCAACAUUGCCAUCUCCUCGUCCGCCACCACGUCCACCGCCUCUGCCUCGUCCUCGUCCACCACCACGGCUACGUCCACCGCCACCGCGCUGGUUCCUGAAACCAGAACCGCCGGCACCAUCUCCCUUCUUCUCCUUCCUCCAGCGCGCUUUUCACUGCUCCUCGGUGUACAGCAGCUUGCCGUUGAUGGCCACCGGCUCGGUCAGCGCUUGUUCCUUGCGAUUAUCCACCGCCUUGAGCCUUCCAGUCACCUCCUCAAGAGUGAGUGCCUCAAAGUCGAGGAACUGCUCAAUGGCGACAACAAUCUGCGUGUACUUGGCUAGCACCGUGCGCAGAAACUUCACCACACGCUCCUCAGUGAUGUCCUUGUCACCAUGAAUGACAAGCUGCUGGUGCAGAAUUGACAGACACAUGGCGAAAUCUUCCACUUGCUCUCCCAAUCGCGCGUAGGCGCUGCAGCGUUGCUCGACGGACCUGGUCCACGCCGAUGCGAGUCGCAGCGAUGGCGUCCCACGCCUCCUUCGCCAUAGCCUUGUCGAGGAGUGGGAUGCCCAUCUCCUUGGGCACGGCCCCGACAAUCACCUCCAGUGCGCGCUUGUCAUCGCGAAACUGGACAGGGCCGCCCUUGAUGGCGUCCUAGAGAUCGCGCGCAUGCAUCCUCAGCUUCAUGGUCUGACUCCACUCGUAGUAGUUCGACUUGUCCAGCAUCGGCCACAACGUGCUGCUACCAGAGUCGCGGUACACCACUCUGCCUUGCGGUGAUUCGUAGCGACCACCGCCGCGGCCGCGCCUCCGGUCUUGCAGUGGUGACUGCGAGCGCCUCCUGUCCCGCAGUGGUGACUAUGAGCGCCUCCUGUCUCGUGACGGAGUCCGCAGCCCCCGAUUCCUGCUCUCCUCCUCUUCCUCCUCUUCAUCCUUUUCUUCUCCCUUCUCAGCAGCAAUUUCGGCCCGCAGCUCCUGCGCCGUCCUUGCAGCCGCCGCCUGCUUUGCUGCCUGGACUGCCAGCGCCGCUGCUUCCUCUGCAGCCUUCAAUCGCGCAGCCCGGCCGGAGGAGUCGCCCAGCUCUCCAUCGCCGGUUCCCUUGGCCUUGAGCCUGGCAGCGCGCUCAGCAGAGUCGACAUGGGGUGGAGAAGGUGAGGAGUUGGCCUCGUGGCUCUCUGGUGUCUAACCUAGCUCUGGUACCAAAUGUUAGAGAUAACACAGACUUGAUUAGCCUUGAGGCAACUAACCCCAGGCCGUCUCCUUCAUUAUAUAUAGAGAAAGACAUUGCAUUGAUUACAAACAGCUCACUAGAGCAUAGCUAAUCAGAUAGGCAGCCGUACACACCUUUGGGCUGCCCAAGGUCUUUAAUGACUGUAAUUAACUAGCAUAGUUAUCUAGGAAAUGCUUAGGAAGCAGGGCUUAUUAACUACACUAUGGGUGUGGCAAACUUAGGUUUAGGCGGCCUUGAUUCACGGCCAGUUGAACCAUGUGUACAGCCCCCACCCCCAAUGUGCAUGUUGGGUGGAGUGACAGUGGUGACUUUAAGGAUAGCCAAUGAUUCUAUUAAAAUGCAUGUUUACUGUGCACAAGAGGAUAAGUUAGGCCAACUACACCUUAAUUACUUGUGUUAGUAUAUACUUUAAAAGUUUAAUUUUUCUAACAUAACUAAAUAGGUCUCUGUCAUUGGUUUUCAAUUAGAGCUUAGAGGGAAGAGUUUAAGCUUGAAAUAAUCGAUAUGUUUUUCCUUUAAAAUGAUUUAUGAUCCUAUUCUCAUGCUGAUGAUUUAAUAAAGAUCAACCUUUACAUAAGUAGCAUGGUAGCCUUAUAUUAUUUUGCAUAGGGAAGCUACCUCUGCAUAUCAAUUUGUGGUCAGAUACUCAGAUGUAGUAUCUUUGUGCUAAGUAAAUCUGUCUGGGUAAAGAUAUUAAAUAAUGUUGUUAAGUUGUUUGGGUAAAGAUAUUAAA
Molecule: long non-coding RNA, 5741 nt
Filed under: Sorghum bicolor (sorghum)
Lineage: Eukaryota; Viridiplantae; Streptophyta; Magnoliopsida; Poales; Poaceae
Description: long non-coding RNA (SBIC_LNC011659)
Source: RNAcentral